This 394-nucleotide ribosomal RNA is filed under the name uncultured bacterium. Its description in RNAcentral is "partial 16S ribosomal RNA". It matches the Rfam family "Bacterial small subunit ribosomal RNA", at positions 338 to 729 of the family's 1533-position model. The record is from RNAcentral.
CCUACGGGAGGCAGCAGUGAGGAAUAUUGGUCAAUGGGCGUAAGCCUGAACCAGCCAAGUCGCGUGAGGGAUGACGGUCCUAUGGGUUGUAAACUUCUUUUAUAUGGGAAUAAAGUGUGGGAUGUGUACUGUUUUGCAUGUACCUUAUGAAUAAGGAUCGGCUAACUCCGUGCCAGCAGCCGCGGUAAUACGGAGGAUCCGAGCGUUAUCCGGAUUUAUUGGGUUUAAAGGGUGCGUAGGCGGCCUGUUAAGUCAGUGGUGAAAGUUUGUGGCUCAACCGUAGAAUUGCAGUUGAUACUGGGAUGCUUGAGUAUGUUUGAGGCAGGCGGAAUGCGUGGUGUAGCGGUGAAAUGCUUAGAUAUCACGAAGAACCCCGAUUGCGAAGGCAGCCUGC